GUUAAGGAAGCACACAUCAGUAGCAUAGACUGUAAAGCAGAGGAUAGCAGCAGCUCCAGCUUACAAUUAAAGGUUGAUGACAUGGCAUGCCAGCUGGCACCUGGUGGUUAUGUAGUUACUUGUUCACGUGAUAAUUAGUUGAAGUUGUUAUAGCUAGCUAGAAUUAGUUUUGUAAUUAGUUAACUAAUUGAGCUGAGCAUCAGCUGUGUAUAUAAGC
Molecule: long non-coding RNA, 217 nt
Filed under: Citrus sinensis (sweet orange)
Lineage: Eukaryota; Viridiplantae; Streptophyta; Magnoliopsida; Sapindales; Rutaceae
Description: long non-coding RNA (CSIN_LNC005531)
Source: RNAcentral